GAUGAACGCUAGCGGCAGGCCUAAUACAUGCAAGUCGAACGCUCAGUAGCAAUACUGGGAGUGGCGCACGGGUGCGUAACGCGUACACAAUCUACCUCUAAGCGGGGGACACCUCCUGGAAACGGGGAUUAAUACCGCAUAAUAUGCCGAAGUCGCAUGACUUUGGUAUUAAAGCAGCAAUGCACUUAGAGAUGAGUGUGCGUCCCAUUAGGUAGUUGGUGAGGUAACGGCUCACCAAGCCUAUGAUGGGUAGCCGGUCUGAGAGGAUGGUCGGCCACACGGGCACUGAGACACGGGCCCGACUCCUACGGGAGGCAGCAGUAAGGAAUAUUGGUCAAUGGUGGAAACACUGAACCAGCCAUGCCGCGUGGAGGAUAAGGUCCUACGGAUUGU
This 393-nucleotide ribosomal RNA is filed under the name uncultured bacterium. RNAcentral describes it as "bacterial SSU rRNA". It matches the Rfam family "Bacterial small subunit ribosomal RNA", at positions 28 to 426 of the family's 1533-position model. The record is from RNAcentral.